GAUCAUGGCUCAGAUUGAACGCUGGCGGCAGGCCUAACACAUGCAAGUCGAGCGGAAACGACAMYAUUGAAUYCUUCGGAUGMUUURAUGGGCGUCGAGCGGCGGACGGGUGAGUAAUGCCUAGGAAAUUGCCUUGAUGUGGGGGAUAACCAUUGGAAACGAUGGCUAAUACCGCAUAAUGCCUACGGGCCAAAGAGGGGGAUCUUCGGACCUCUCGCGUCAAGAUAUGCCUAGGUGGGAUUAGCUAGUUGGUGAGGUAAUGGCUCACCAAGGCGACGAUCCCUAGCUGGUCUGAGAGGAUGAUCAGCCACACUGGAACUGAGACACGGUCCAGACUCCUACGGGAGGCAGCAGUGGGGAAUAUUGCACAAUGGGCGAAAGCCUGAUGCAGCCAUGCCGCGUGUAUGAAGAAGGCCUUCGGGUUGUAAAGUACUUUCAGUUGUGAGGAAGGGUGUGUAGUUAAUAGCUGCRCMUCUUGACGUUAGCAACAGAAGAAGCACCGGCUAACUCCGUGCCAGCCGCCG
This 524-nucleotide ribosomal RNA is filed under the name Vibrio splendidus. RNAcentral's name for it is "bacterial SSU rRNA". It matches the Rfam family "Bacterial small subunit ribosomal RNA", at positions 15 to 517 of the family's 1533-position model. The record is from RNAcentral. Lineage: Bacteria; Pseudomonadati; Pseudomonadota; Gammaproteobacteria; Vibrionales; Vibrionaceae.